CAUUUCCAUUCUCAAUUUUAUUUUUUACAGAGUUUGUCUUUAGUGCCAUGUGGACACAGUAGAGUGCCUCCCCGUGCUUCAGGUUUAUGCUCUUAUAAUAUACUAGAUUAUGGAGUGUGUGUCCGAGCGAGAACUUCUCUAGUUCAUUACUUUAGGAAAAUUUAUCAAAAAGUAGUAUUUCAAUAUUCAGCCCCAUUCUACUAUUUAGUCAGCCGUUAGUCGUUACCCUGAUAUACCUUAUCUUUUUCGGGUAAUUAAUACGAAUAGCGUUUGACGUUUUUAGCCGAA
Molecule: long non-coding RNA, 288 nt
Filed under: Mytilus galloprovincialis (Mediterranean mussel)
Lineage: Eukaryota; Metazoa; Mollusca; Bivalvia; Mytilida; Mytilidae
Source: RNAcentral